This 400-nucleotide ribosomal RNA is filed under the name uncultured bacterium. RNAcentral's name for it is "bacterial SSU rRNA". It matches the Rfam family "Bacterial small subunit ribosomal RNA", at positions 356 to 773 of the family's 1533-position model. The record is from RNAcentral.
GGGGAAUAUUGGACAAUGGGCGAAAGCCUGAUCCAGCAAUGCCGCGUGAGUGAUGAAGGCCUUAGGGUUGUAAAGCUCUUUUACCCGGGAUGAUAAUGACAGUACCGGGAGAAUAAGCUCCGGCUAACUCCGUGCCAGCAGCCGCGGUAAUACGGAGGGAGCUAGCGUUAUUCGGAAUUACUGGGCGUAAAGCGCACGUAGGCGGCUUUGUAAGUUAGAGGUGAAAGCCCAGAGCUCAACUCUGGAAUUGCCUUUGAUACUGCAUCGCUUGAAUCCAGGAGAGGUGAGUGGAAUUCCGAGUGUAGAGGUGAAAUUCGUAGAUAUUCGGAAGAACACCAGUGGCGAAGGCGGCUCACUGGACUGGGAUUGACGCUGAGGUGCGAAAGCGUGGGGAGCAAAC